ACAAGGCCAUAUGUAUGGUUUACCGAAAACUGGAGAAACAUGUCCUCGACGACGCUUAUAUCAUUUUUUUUCUGACGGUUGCGGUUCCGGUAAAUACUCAACAGACGCCUCGCACAAGACACACACAGACGACACACACACACACACGACACAACACAACACCUUGUACCAAAACUAUAUACUCUCCGAAGAGCGCCUGCAGGAGAGUCAGGGGGGGUGAGCCUCUCAGGGUGGUGCUAUCAUUGCGGAUGUCGACAAGCAGGGUACGAUGAGGAUGGAUGGUGGGUGCGACGCCCUUCGCUACUUGCUUGCGAUGACCGAUGACGAUGACGGUGCCGAUGCCGAUGCGGUUUGAGUGCAGGUUGCGACCUUCAUUCAAGUCUGAACGAGAAAACGCGGGAGGUGGUGCUCCAGGAUGGCCAGCAGCUCGCUUUGCUGGGUGCCCCUGUCCAGUUGCCGGCCCUCCAGCCUGCCUGCAGCCUCCACGAGCUGGCCUCUUAGCCUCUGCGGCAGAAGCCGCCCACCUGACCCGACGCAUUCCCUGUACAGUGGCAGGUAGGCCAUGGCGAUCACCAGCUGAAGCGGGAGCUGUCUCAGGACGACCGGCGACUCACCCCUUUGCAUUAUCCUUGUAAUGUUGACAAAGUGCUCUUGUGAAGACACGAAUCCCUUGUUGAAGGCUUCCUCUGACCACUGCUCGAGCAUGAACAGCCUAAGCUUGGCAUCUACAGCCUCAUCAGCGCAUCUUGCUAUGCUGUCUGCUACAGCAUAUGUGGCGGCUGGGUCAUUGAGGAAGUCCGACCGGAGAAGAAAAUCCACACCUUGGAGGGAACCUGUGCUCCUCUCGCCAGCAGCCUUCACAAUCUCGAUGCUGAGUGGGGCAAGAACAAGUUGGGGGACUAGAGGCAGGAGAUAGGCAGCAACUUCAACCUGGC
RNAcentral lists this long non-coding RNA (935 nucleotides) under Triticum aestivum (bread wheat). RNAcentral's name for it is "long non-coding RNA (TAES_LNC004133)". Lineage: Eukaryota; Viridiplantae; Streptophyta; Magnoliopsida; Poales; Poaceae. The record is from RNAcentral.